Lemur catta (Ring-tailed lemur) is the source of this 167-nucleotide long non-coding RNA. RefSeq lists it as uncharacterized. The transcript has 3 exons. NCBI's taxonomy places the organism in Eukaryota, Metazoa, Chordata, Mammalia, Primates, Lemuridae. The record is from RefSeq and is a predicted model, not a curated record.
GUGCAGGAGGUGGGUUCUGCUUUCGGAAGGUGAUACUCCGCUCACUCCCCGUGCACCUGUUGGAAUCCAAGCCCUAGUUCAGCAUCCCUGGCUAAGGAGAUUGCAAAGCAGCUGCUGAGGACCCAUGUGUUGAUCUCACAUCAGAUCUGAUAUUUGCUGCCAUUGAG